GCGUGACGGAGCAAUGCCGCGUGCAGGAUGAAGGCCUUCGGGGUCGUAAACUGCUGUCACUGGGAACGAAUAAAUUGACGGUACCCGGAGAGGAAGCCACGGCUAACUACGUGCCAGCAGCCGCGGUAAUACGUAGGUGCAAGCGUUAAUCGGAAUUACUGGGCGUAAAGCGUGCGCAGGCGGACUUUUAAGCCAGAUGUGAAAGCCCCGAGCUUAACUUGGGAAUUGCGUUUGGAACUGGGAGUCUAGAGUCUGUCAGAGGGGAUGGAAUUCCACGUGUAGCAGUGAAAUGCGUAGAGAUGUGGAGGAACACCGAUGGCGAAGGCAGUCCCCUGGGAUAAGACUGACGCUCAUGCACGAAAGCGUGGGGAGCAAACAGGAUUAGAUACCCUGGUAGUCCACGCCCUAAACGAUGUCUACUAGUUGUUGGGGUAGCAAUACCUCAGUGACGCAGCUAACGCGUGAAGUAGACCGCCUGGGGAGUACGGUCGCAAGAUUAAAACUCAAAGGAAUUGACGGGGGG
RNAcentral lists this ribosomal RNA (523 nucleotides) under uncultured bacterium. Its description in RNAcentral is "bacterial SSU rRNA". It matches the Rfam family "Bacterial small subunit ribosomal RNA", at positions 381 to 920 of the family's 1533-position model. The record is from RNAcentral.